RNAcentral lists this ribosomal RNA (483 nucleotides) under uncultured bacterium. Its description in RNAcentral is "partial 16S ribosomal RNA". It matches the Rfam family "Bacterial small subunit ribosomal RNA", at positions 28 to 507 of the family's 1533-position model. The record is from RNAcentral.
GACGAACGCUGGCGGCGUGCCUAACACAUGCAAGUCGAGCGGGGAUUUAAGUGGAAGUUCUUCGGAAUGGAGAUUUAAAUUCUAGCGGCGGACGGGUGAGUAACGCGUGAACAAUCUGUCCCGGACAGGGGGAUAACACUUGGAAACAGGUGCUAAUACCGCAUAAGACCACGGCCUCGCAUGGGGCUGAGGUAAAAGGAGCAAUCCGGUUCGGGGUGAGUUCGCGUCCGAUUAGCUAGUUGGUGAGGUAACGGCCCACCAAGGCGACGAUCGGUAGCCGGCCUGAGAGGGUGAACGGCCACAUUGGAACUGAGAGACGGUCCAAACUCCUACAGGAGGCGGCAGUGGGGAAUAUUGGGCAAUGGGCGAAAGCCUGACCCAGCAACGCCGCGUGAGGGAAGAAGGUUUUCGGAUUGUAAACCUCUGUCCUAUGGGACGAAGGAAGUGACGGUACCAUAGGAGGAAGCCCCGGCUAACUACGUG